UCCAGACUCCUACGGGAGGCAGCAGUGGGGAAUAUUGCACAAUGGGGGAAACCCUGAUGCAGCGACGCCGCGUGGGCGAAGAAGUAUCUCGGUAUGUAAAGCUCUAUCAGCAGGGAAGAAAAUGACGGUACCUGACUAAGAAGCCCCGGCUAACUACGUGCCAGCAGCCGCGGUAAUACGUAGGGGGCAAGCGUUAUCCGGAUUUACUGGGUGUAAAGGGAGCGUAGACGGCAGCGCAAGUCUGAAGUGAAAUCCCAUGGCUUAACCAUGGAACUGCUUUGGAAACUGUGCAGCUGGAGUGCAGGAGAGGUAAGCGGAAUUCCUAGUGUAGCGGUGAAAUGCGUAGAUAUUAGGAGGAACACCAGUGGCGAAGGCGGCUUACUGGACUGUAACUGACGUUGAGGCUCGAAAGCGUGGGGAGCAAACAGGAUUAGAUACCCUCGUAAAU
Molecule: ribosomal RNA, 448 nt
Filed under: uncultured bacterium
Lineage: Bacteria
Description: bacterial SSU rRNA
Rfam family: Bacterial small subunit ribosomal RNA
Source: RNAcentral